GUAAGAAGUCAAAUCGGUUUCAGAGAUGUUCUUAAACUGAAUUGAUUCCUUACAG
This 55-nucleotide microRNA precursor is filed under the name Strongyloides ratti. RNAcentral's name for it is "microRNA str-mir-255 precursor". Its record names the gene str-mir-255. Lineage: Eukaryota; Metazoa; Nematoda; Chromadorea; Rhabditida; Strongyloididae. The record is from miRBase by way of RNAcentral.